Molecule: long non-coding RNA, 1195 nt
Organism: Gallus gallus (chicken)
Lineage: Eukaryota; Metazoa; Chordata; Aves; Galliformes; Phasianidae
Source: Ensembl
CUGGUUGGAGAUCUCUCCCUUCUGGAUUUUUCCUUGCGAGCGUAGAUCUUCGGAGCUGGAGAUGUUCAAAGCUUCCGGAUGACAGAGCCGGAGAGGCCUUUAUGCUGCACGGACUCAGUGACCACAAGCAGAGGUGAAUGUCUUCAUCUGUGCACCCUGAGCUCUCCUUGGGCACUCAGAUAAAGCAUCAGAGUGGCUCAGAUCAGGACAUGCAUGUCCCAUGGCUGGGGAGUUUUCUCCAGGUCUGAGGGAUGCUAACAGCAGCCUGCUUUGCUUUUCAACAAUAGCAAGCUGAGUUGGCUUGAAGACUCCCUGCUCUCCAUCUCCUGCAUCAUCAUAGCCCACGUGGUUGUUCCUGCUCCCAACUCAGAGCUGUGCAUUCCCUCCGAGGAAGGUCCCACAGGGUGAGCAGCGGAGGCCACUGUGAUGAGCAAGAACCACAGUUAACUCCAGGGCAAAAAAUAAUGGCCUUAACUGAUGGCUGCUACGUGGAGCCUGCCACUGGGUUUGCUGCUGCCCUUCCCGUUAUCUCAGGCUGCACGAUGCUUACCUUCAAGAAUUUGCUCAAUCCAAGAGAGCAAGGAAAAUGUUGUUUCACAGAUGCGUGACCCUUGCUCUGCAGGCAAGAGAACAUGUUGCUUCUCUGGUGCGUGCCCCUGCCAACCUGGGAAUGGGCUCAGUACAAGAUCCCCGUUCUGCAUCCCCUGUGUGCCUGCACGAGGCUUUAAAACCAGUGAGGUCCCUUCCCUGAGCCACUGGCAGGUCAAGUGUUCAGUCUGAUGGCUGUGCUGUUAAUCUGAGAUGUCAGUGGGGUAUGCAAGCACAAUCCUGUCUUGAUGCGUAGCAGUUUCAUCCUGGGUAGCCGUUGGGGAUUUUGAUUAGGCUAAAGGAGGUGUGCGAGAAGGGCUCCGUGUCAUUCCUUUAGGAAUCUGGGAAAAUUUCUGGGUUCUUCUGUAAUUUUCUGGAAGCCCUCUGGAAAUACAUUUGUAUAAUUAACAGAGGUGCACACAUGAAUACAAACAGAAGUCUUGUGCUUGCGAGCGCGCCGGUGCUCUAAAUGCAGACUAGUGAAAUAUAGCUCUUGCCAUAUUGAAUUCAUUCUCAGCUUCUCUUUUAUGUAAUGCAUUUCUCUCUUCUACAUAUCUCUGUGCUGUGACACUGCUGCUGUUUUGGUGGAUUGCUUCUUGUAAUCUUU